GCCUGGUUAGCUGAGUCGGUAGAGCAUGAGACUCUUAAUGUCAGGGUUGUGGGUUCAAAUCACACAUUGGGUG
Molecule: non-coding RNA, 73 nt
Organism: Sphaeramia orbicularis (orbiculate cardinalfish)
Lineage: Eukaryota; Metazoa; Chordata; Actinopteri; Kurtiformes; Apogonidae
Source: the annotation of a RefSeq genome assembly